Non-coding RNA from Paramuricea clavata, 662 nucleotides. The record is from the annotation of a GenBank genome assembly. Lineage: Eukaryota; Metazoa; Cnidaria; Anthozoa; Malacalcyonacea; Plexauridae.
AUUAACAAUUAUUUAAGGACGUUAGACACUCAAUUGCAUUAUCUAAGGACCUGUUUUUUCGACUUUAGUAGAGCCCUUAUCUCACUGAUCACAACAUUCUGGUUCUAAAACUGUUGUUACUUGCUGUCAGAAGAUCAAUUAUCCCAUGCGUCUGCAACUUUCUUCCAAUCUGCCGAUAAUGGGUAAAGAUUGAUAAUUCUUUUCCAAAUGUGGUUUUGUUAAUUAAUGCUGUACCUGUCCCUCAAGGAACUAAACUUGGACCCAUUCAACCUUGUGUUAAGAGCUAUAAAUACGAGCUAUAAAUGAACAGUUAAACGUAGCACUAAGAAUGAAACCACACAAAAUUUGAAUAUUUCGAUUUGACAACCAUCUACAGAGUAAAUUUUAAUCAUCUCAUAUUUGGUAUUCCAGACAAAUUAAACAUCUUAGACGUUAUUAAUACCAGACGUUUUCUAUUUCUCAAGCAAGUGUAGAAACCUUACUCAAUUUAGGUACUUGAAGUGUUAAUGCUUGAAUCUUGUAUGAUGUUUGAUGAUAUUCAAUAAUUAUGAUAAACCGCCCCAAAUACUUACUUAUUCUUGCCUUUCGUUUUUUUAUUAUUCUUCCCUCUUUGUCCUUGGUCAACUUCUGGCUUUUGAUAAAAGUAACCUUCCUGUUUUUCC